AUGACUUAUUUUUUUUAUUUUUCUUCAAUUUUUAUGCGUUAAAUUAGAAGUACAAGUGCUUAAAAGCAAAUGGUACAGCUACUUCACAACAUAGAUUGAAUAUUUUCAUUUUCCAUGAGUAAGUGAAUCUUUUAAAGUGACAUAUCACUGGUGGUAGAAAAGUCAUAUCCUUUUCAUUAAGGGUGGGCAAAAUAUUCGACCCGAUAAAAAAAAAAUCGGGUUCGGAUCAAAUCGAAUUAAAGGCUAUAUCUGAUCGGAUGCAAUAUUGUCAACCCGAUCAGAUUGUGAUCGGAUCAGGUUUCAUCCGAUCCAAUCUGAAAACUCGAUCGGAUUGGCUAAAAAAAAAAGGUGAAACACACACACACAUAAAUCACAAUUCAAAUAGACACACCCAACAUCAUCCACACAUGUACACUCUACAGCACACACCACACCACCCACACAACAGUUGCAACCUUCCUCACUGGCUCACCUUCAACCUUAAGUCAACACUCAACACUUAACAGCAGAGCUAAACACACACACUAACACGGUCGACAGUACCCAACGACAGCUACGACCUCCUCCAUCAACUUAUCAUGUCACUUUCAAGAAGACAAGAAAGAAAAAAUAGUGACACACAAAUCACAAUUCACACAAACACACACCACACCGUCCACACAUGUGUACACUAUACAGCACACACCACACCACCUAAACAACAGCUGCAACCUCCUUCACUGGCUCACCCUCAACUUCAAGUCAGCACUCAACACUUAACAGCAGAGCAAAACACACACAUUCACACAUCCAACAGUACCCAACCACAGCCACGACCUCCUCCCUUAACUUUUCAUCUCACUCCCAAGAAGACAAGAAAGAAGAAACAGUGACACACACAGACACAGCAAGAAAGCGGUAGCCAACCACCAAACGCAACAACCCAACCAGAUCUACUACCACCACCUACUGAAUCUGCUGAUCCAUGCCUCCACCAUCACCAAGCUCCUCCUUCAAGCUCCAUCUGAACCCUGCAAACGGCAACCCGAAUUUCCGUUUUGAAGCUUUGAGUUCGAGCCUUCGAUUAUGGUAUAUACCACCGCCAUUUGAUAGUUAUAUUGUGUAUUGUGUAAUAUAUAUUAUAUGUUAUUAUAUUAAAUUGUUAAUUAGUAAUUAUUAUAUUUCACCCAACCUGAAUUGACCUGAACUAAAUUCGAACCUAUCUAAUCUGAAUUUGAUUCGAACCGAACUCAACCCAAUUUCUUGGUCCGACUGGAUCGAGUUAAUUAGUAAUUAAUUCAAAUUGGAUUAGAUUGUGUUAUAUGUUCAGAUUGAGUUCAAAUGAAUUUUAAUCCAACUCGACCAACCCAAAACUUGAUCCAGUUGAUCCGAACUCAAUUUAGCCCAGUUCUACUUCUCAUGGAGAACAUUUUUAUUAAUAAUAAUUAAAGAAUGAUACAAGUAUAGUUUAAAUGCACUUUUAUACUUAAAUCCAAAAUAAUGCAAAUUUAUUAAAAUAAGUUAACUUAAGUGAUUUUACAUAAUACAAUUUUCUUACUUCAAGAAAUUUAAAAACAACUUCCCAAGAGAAUAUAGAAAUCCAUCAAAUUUUUUGAAUAUUAUAAAUGAAUUCAAGCACUAAAUAACAGAAUUUACCAACAAGUCUAUUAAGAUUUCUGUUUCUAUUAACGAGAGCUUUGGAACGACAUACUAUAUGUCUAAAUAUGAUAUUAUUUGUCCCAUCUAGACUCGUCAAAAGAUAUCUUGUUUACUUAAUUACACUUUGAAGGUAAAAUGGUCAUUUUAUAUUAAUUCCCUUAAAGAUUAUAAUAUUUCUAAUAGUAAAAUAAAUGAGCUAUACACUUUGUAAAUUUUGUUGGGCAGCUAAAUAGAUUAAAAGUUUUUGUCUGAGGGCACAGAUGAGUCCCAACCCUUAUGUUGGGACUUUAAUUUAUCUUCUCAAUUACAUAACUAAUAGAAAUAGACAUCUCCAUAUAAGUUUAUUGGAAUGUUCUAAAUCAAGUAUAUUAUAAUACAAUUCAGAUUUUUAUCCUCAAUAAUAUUUGAGGGAUAUAAGUGUUAAAAAAAACUUAUAUUUUAACUGUGAUUAAAAAAAUAAAAAAAGACAUGGCUAGAGAGAGAUCUAGUAAAUGUAAACAGGUUCUAUUUGGUAUUUAACUAAUUUAUUUUUUAAGUUACAAUAGAUGUAAAAAAAAAAGGUUAUACCUAUAAAAUAAAAGUUAAUAAUGUAUAAUAAAUAUAAAUUUAAAAAAAAUAAUUUUGACAAAAAUAACGGUUAACUUUGGAAUGCCUCUUAUUUUUGUUAAGAAAACAAAAGAAAUUUCAUUAACCUACCCCCUUUUUUUCCUUAUCUUUUGAAUAAAAAUAAGAGUAACUUGAGAUUUUCAAAAGUGAAGAGAGUUGCUUGAAAAUUGUUAAUUUAUAACUGGAGUAAUCUAAAAUUUAGCCUAAAAAUAAUAAAUAUAUUAUAACUUUUUAAAUCACCUUAACCUCUUAGCUAUAAUACUAAUAGAAAGUGCUUACUGAAUACGUUAAUAUUGUAAAAUAAAAAUUAAAUCUAUUUAACCUCAAUACAAAAGAGGACCUAUUUUUCUUUCAUUUUAGAGCAACUUUUAUUUUCUCUCUCUACGUUUAAUGUCCACUUAUCUUCAAAAUUAUCAUUUCAUUAUGCUUUUACAGUUCUUUCUUUUGAUUUACUUUUUUUUUUUUCGAAAAGACAUCAUAAGAUACUAAGAUGAGGCAAAUUUGGCAUAUUCUGUAAUAUCUACGGGAAAAAAAGGCAUAUUCUGUGCCAAAUCGAAAAGACAUCAUAAGAUACUAAGAUGAGAUGAGGCAAAUUUGGCAUAUUCUGUAAUAUCUACGGGAAAAAAAGGCAUAUUCUGUGCCAAAUAUAGAAGAAAUACCAUUGCAGCACGGCCAGGUUGGUUGGUAGGUGAUUAUCGAGUCUGAGACGUCCACUGCUAGUGCCGGUGCUAGUUAAAUCCCUAAAAUACCCUUGCAGCAGCUACUCACGUUUGCGUCUAUCCC
This 3027-nucleotide long non-coding RNA is filed under the name Citrus sinensis (sweet orange). RNAcentral describes it as "long non-coding RNA (CSIN_LNC001861)". Lineage: Eukaryota; Viridiplantae; Streptophyta; Magnoliopsida; Sapindales; Rutaceae. The record is from RNAcentral.